CGUCGAUCUCGUGAAUCAUCGAAUCUUUGAACGCAUCUUGCACUUUUCAGGUCUCCUGAAAAGUAUACUUGUUUGAGUAUCAUAAACAUUCUCUCCAAGCUCGUCUUGGGAAUUGAGACGAUCAAGUGCGCUAAUGGCUGCAAGCUUCUUCAAGCUUUCGCCGUGCACUUGUGUCUUAUAAUAGAUAUGCAUAGGGUCAUUCUAGCUUGCUAGAAGCCCGCUCAAUCAAAUGUGAGAUAGCAGGUAUUACCGACUGCGCGUGCACACUGUGCAUGCCAGCGGCAUACUGAAUCGCACAGAGUAGUUGAAGCGUGGUAGUGCCUUGGCUACGCCUAGAGCGUGCGCGUGCACAGACUUACGUCUUUGCUUGCGGGCCUCAUCUUUAUUCGUGAUCUCAAAUCAAGUAAGACUACCCGCUGAACUUAAGCAUAUCAAUAAGCGGAGG
This 445-nucleotide ribosomal RNA is filed under the name uncultured Mortierellales. RNAcentral describes it as "eukaryotic LSU rRNA". The stretch from base 390 to 445 matches the Rfam family "Eukaryotic large subunit ribosomal RNA", at positions 1 to 56 of the family's 3401-position model. The record is from RNAcentral. Lineage: Eukaryota; Fungi; Mortierellomycota; Mortierellomycetes; Mortierellales.